This 507-nucleotide long non-coding RNA is filed under the name Equus caballus (horse). Its description in RNAcentral is "lncRNA (ENSECAG00000057747.1)". The record is from RNAcentral. Lineage: Eukaryota; Metazoa; Chordata; Mammalia; Perissodactyla; Equidae.
GAAAACCUGUGUCAAAUCUCCGCCUAUCGUCCCGUUACGUAAAUAACAGACAUCAGCUGAAGUUAGGCCAAAGAGGAAAGCAAGGAAUUUCUUGGUCCUUCUGCGCCUCACGCGCAGAGCCCUGCGGGUCCAGCUACAGAGACGACUCCCAAAUUCAUGUCUCCAAUUCGGUGCUCCGACUGUGGCUCCAGAGCAUCAUGGAUUCCAAGGACGAGUUGACCAACCGGGCCUAGGAAGCCUUAACAGUCGGCUGCGGAACUUUUCUCUCUAAAUUCUGACAAUAAACUUCUAGAAACCAUCUGCAUUCCUUGGCUCAUGGCUCGUCUUCAAAUCCAACCUCUGCUUCUGUGGUCAUCGCGUCUCCUUCUCUGACUCUGACUCCCUUCCUUCCUUCACUGAUGAGGACCCUUGCAACUGCACUGGGCCCACCGAGAUGAUCCAGGAUAAUCUCCCCAUCUCAAGAUCUUUAACUUAAUUACAUCUGAAAAGUCACUUUCGCCACUUAAG